UUACUCUUCUAACUUAUAUUUAUCACUUUAUUUCUUCAUUCUUUCUUCUUUUUUUUUCCCUCAAAGUUUGACAGUGUUAAAUGAUGAUAAUUUAAGCUCCCUUUGAUAUGUAUCAGACAACAAAGUUAGGAGACUGUCAUUUGAUGAUUCUCAUGAUGGUAAUUACGGUAUACAAAAGAGGAUGAUUAUAUAAUAAUUAUGUACCCAUAUUAUGUAUAUGUUCAUGUAUUUUCAUUUUCUUGUUUCUUGUUUUUCAUAUGUUUAUGUUUUUCACAUGUGCUUAAAACAAUGAUAUAUUAUGUGUAAUAAUCUUCUUUUCAAUGCAAUAUUAUAUUGUAAAAAUACUUGUGAUCAUUUUCAUCAAUGAAGCAUCAUCGAAGUUUCUCAUAAAAAAUAAAAUUGAAUUAGAUCAUUAGGGUUAAAGUCUAGAAUCGUGCAACGUAAUAUUUAAUAUAUAAAAUAAUUAAAGUAGAUUUAGUGAUCACAAGUAUAUAGUUUUUUCUUUAUCAUCUCUACACAUUACAUUAAACAGUAUGGUUUAUGCCUUUUUAUUGUUUGGUUAGUCAGUAACGUAAGUUAAUAUUGUUAAUUUUCAUUAACAGAGACGAUCAAGAAUGAGAAAACGAGUACUACAAAUAAUGUUCAUGUUGAAAGUCCUCCACAACCAUGCAAUGGCCAACGUAGCAGACGACCCAAACGGGACACCCCUUGGUGUGGCAACUAUUGAAAGAAACUUAUUUUUAUACAAAGAGUGAAAACUGAAGAAGUACUGCAUUUACAUAUUUCUUUUAGAUAUUUUUAAGUUGAAAGAGAUCUGCUCAAUUUAAAAUAAAUUGAUAAAUUCAGUUUAAAGAUAGGAACCCAUUUGAAUUAAUAUUAAUAUGCUUUAAAUGUGUUUACAAUUAUUUUUGUAUAUGCAGAAAUGAGAAACAGAAUGGUAUUUCUGAUCUUUU
RNAcentral lists this long non-coding RNA (953 nucleotides) under Cucumis sativus (cucumber). RNAcentral's name for it is "long non-coding RNA (CSAT_LNC001395)". Lineage: Eukaryota; Viridiplantae; Streptophyta; Magnoliopsida; Cucurbitales; Cucurbitaceae. The record is from RNAcentral.